AUGCUCGCUUCGGCAGCACAUAUACUACAAUUGGAAUGAUGCAGAGAAGAUUAGCAUGGCUCCUGUGCAAGGAUGACAUGCAAAUUCGUGAAUUCCAUAUUUUU
Camelus dromedarius (Arabian camel) is the source of this 104-nucleotide small nuclear RNA. Lineage: Eukaryota; Metazoa; Chordata; Mammalia; Artiodactyla; Camelidae. The record is from Ensembl.